UACGUAGGGGGCUAGCGUUGUCCGGAUUUAUUGGGCGUAAAGAGCGUGUAGGCGGCCAGAUAGGUCUGCUGUGAAAACUCGAGGCUCAACCUCGAGAUGUCGGCGGAAACCAUUUGGCUAGAGUCCGGAAGAGGAAAGUGGAAUUCCUGGUGUAGCGGUGAAAUGCGCAGAUAUCAGGAGGAACACCAAUGGCGAAGGCAGCUCGCUGGGACGUGACUGACGCUGAGACGCGAAAGCGUGGGGAGCAAACAGG
This 253-nucleotide ribosomal RNA is filed under the name uncultured bacterium. RNAcentral's name for it is "partial 16S ribosomal RNA". It matches the Rfam family "Bacterial small subunit ribosomal RNA", at positions 524 to 776 of the family's 1533-position model. The record is from RNAcentral.